UUAAGCGACUAAGCGUACACGGUGGAUGCCCUGGCAGUCAGAGGCGAUGAAGGACGUGCUAAUCUGCGAAAAGCGUCGGUAAGGUGAUAUGAACCGUUAUAGCCGGCGAUGUCCGAAUGGGGAAACCCAGUGCAAUUCGUUGCACUAUCGUUAACUGAAUACAUAGGUUAACGAGGCGAACCGGGGGAACUGAAACAUCUAAGUACCCCGAGGAAAAGAAAUCAACCGAGAUUCCCCCAGUAGCGGCGAGCGAACGGGGAGCAGCCCAGAGUCUGAAUCAGCUUGUGUGUUAGUGGAACGGUCUGGAAAGUCCGACGGUACAGGGUGAUAGUCCCGUACACCAAAAUGCACAGGCUGUGAACUCGAAGAGUAGGGCGGGACACGUGGUAUCCUGUCUGAAUAUGGGGGGACCAUCCUCCAAGGCUAAAUACUCCUGACUGACCGAUAGUGAACCAGUACCGUGAGGGAAAGGCGAAAAGAACCCCGGCGAGGGGAGUGAAAAAGAACCUGAAACCGUGUACGUACAAGCAGUGGGAGCACCUUCGGGUGUGACUGCGUACCUUUUGUAUAAUGGGUCAGCGACUUAUAUUCUGUAGCAAGGUUAACCGUAUAGGGGAGCCGCAGGGAAACCGAGUCUUAACUGGGCGUUAAGUUGCAGGGUAUAGACCCGAAACCCGGUGAUCUAGCCAUGGGCAGGUUGAAGGUUGGGUAACACUAACUGGAGGACCGAACCGACUAAUGUUGAAAAAUUAGCGGAUGACUUGUGGCUGGGGGUGAAAGGCCAAUCAAACCGGGAGAUAGCUGGUUCUCCCCGAAAGCUAUUUAGGUAGCGCCUCGUGAACUCAUCUUCGGGGGUAGAGCACUGUUUCGGCUAGGGGGUCAUCCCGACUUACCAACCCGAUGCAAACUACGAAUACCGAAGAAUGUUAUCACGGGAGACACACGGCGGGUGCUAACGUCCGUCGUGAAGAGGGAAACAACCCAGACCGCCAGCUAAGGUCCCAAAGUCAUGGUUAAGUGGGAAACGAUGUGGGAAGGCACAGACAGCCAGGAUGUUGGCUUAGAAGCAGCCAUCAUUUAAAGAAAGCGUAAUAGCUCACUGGUCGAGUCGGCCUGCGCGGAAGAUGUAACGGGGCUAAACCAUGCACCGAAGCUGCGGCAGCGACACUAUGUGUUGUUGGGUAGGGGAGCGUUCUGUAAGCCUGCGAAGGUGACCUGUGAGGGUUGCUGGAGGUAUCAGAAGUGCGAAUGCUGACAUAAGUAACGAUAAAGCGGGUGAAAAGCCCGCUCGCCGGAAGACCAAGGGUUCCUGUCCAACGUUAAUCGGGGCAGGGUGAGUCGACCCCUAAGGCGAGGCCGAAAGGCGUAGUCGAUGGGAAACAGGUUAAUAUUCCUGUACUUGGUGUUACUGCGAAGGGGGGACGGAGAAGGCUAUGUUAGCCGGGCGACGGUUGUCCCGGUUUAAGCAUGUAGGCUGAUUGUCCAGGCAAAUCCGGAUAAUCAAGGCUGAGGUGUGAUGACGAGGCACUACGGUGCUGAAGUAACAAAUGCCCUGCUUCCAGGAAAAGCCUCUAAGCAUCAGGUAACAUCAAAUCGUACCCCAAACCGACACAGGUGGUCAGGUAGAGAAUACCAAGGCGCUUGAGAGAACUCGGGUGAAGGAACUAGGCAAAAUGGUGCCGUAACUUCGGGAGAAGGCACGCUGGUGUGUAGGUGAAGUCCCUGCGGAUGGAGCUGAGACCAGUCGAAGAUACCAGCUGGCUGCAACUGUUUAUUAAAAACACAGCACUGUGCAAACACGAAAGUGGACGUAUACGGUGUGACGCCUGCCCGGUGCCGGAAGGUUAAUUGAUGGGGUUAUCCGUAAGGAGAAGCUCUUGAUCGAAGCCCCGGUAAACGGCGGCCGUAACUAUAACGGUCCUAAGGUAGCGAAAUUCCUUGUCGGGUAAGUUCCGACCUGCACGAAUGGCGUAAUGAUGGCCAGGCUGUCUCCACCCGAGACUCAGUGAAAUUGAACUCGCUGUGAAGAUGCAGUGUACCCGCGGCAAGACGGAAAGACCCCGUGAACCUUUACUAUAGCUUGACACUGAACAUUGAGCCUUGAUGUGUAGGAUAGGUGGGAGGCUUUGAAGCGUGGACGCCAGUCUGCGUGGAGCCAACCUUGAAAUACCACCCUUUAAUGUUUGAUGUUCUAACGUUGGCCCCUGACCGGGGUUGCGGACAGUGUCUGGUGGGUAGUUUGACUGGGGCGGUCUCCUCCCAAAGCGUAACGGAGGAGCACGAAGGUUAGCUAAUCCUGGUCGGACAUCAGGAGGUUAGUGCAAUGGCAUAAGCUAGCUUGACUGCGAGCGUGACGGCGCGAGCAGGUGCGAAAGCAGGUCAUAGUGAUCCGGUGGUUCUGAAUGGAAGGGCCAUCGCUCAACGGAUAAAAGGUACUCCGGGGAUAACAGGCUGAUACCGCCCAAGAGUUCAUAUCGACGGCGGUGUUUGGCACCUCGAUGUCGGCUCAUCACAUCCUGGGGCUGAAGUAGGUCCCAAGGGUAUGGCUGUUCGCCAUUUAAAGUGGUACGCGAGCUGGGUUUAGAACGUCGUGAGACAGUUCGGUCCCUAUCUGCCGUGGGCGCUGGAGAAUUGAGGGGGGCUGCUCCUAGUACGAGAGGACCGGAGUGGACGCAUCACUGGUGUUCGGGUUGUCAUGCCAAUGGCACUGCCCGGUAGCUAAAUGCGGAAGAGAUAAGUGCUGAAAGCAUCUAAGCACGAAACUUGCCCCGAGAUGAGUUCUCCCUGAGACUUUAAGUCUCCUGAAGGAACGUUAAAGACGAUGACGUUGAUAGGCCGGGUGUGUAAGCGCAGCGAUGCGUUGAGCUAACCGGUACUAAUGAACCGUGAGGCUUAACCUU
Molecule: ribosomal RNA, 2900 nt
Filed under: Klebsiella pneumoniae
Lineage: Bacteria; Pseudomonadati; Pseudomonadota; Gammaproteobacteria; Enterobacterales; Enterobacteriaceae
Description: bacterial LSU rRNA
Rfam family: Bacterial large subunit ribosomal RNA
Source: RNAcentral